RNAcentral lists this ribosomal RNA (497 nucleotides) under uncultured bacterium. RNAcentral describes it as "partial 16S ribosomal RNA". It matches the Rfam family "Bacterial small subunit ribosomal RNA", at positions 28 to 507 of the family's 1533-position model. The record is from RNAcentral.
GACGAACGCUGGCGGCGUGCCUAAUACAUGCAAGUCGAGCGCUGAAGGUUGGUACUUGUACCUACGGGAUGAGCAGCGAACGGGUGAGUAACGCGUGGGUAACCUGCCUAUGAGCGGGGGACAACAUUUGGAAACGAAUGCUAAUACCGCAUAAAAACUUUAAACACAAGGUUCAAGAGUGAAAGAUGCACUUGCAGCACCUAAAGGAUAGCUCCCGUUUUAUUAGCUAGUUGGUGAGGUAAACGGCCAACAAGGCGAAGAUACCUAAGCGGACUGGGGGGGUGUAUGGCCACCAUGGGACUUGGACACCGGCCCAGCUCCCUACGGGGGCAGCCGUAAGGGAUCUUUCCGCAUGGGGCGAAGUCUGGACGGACCAACGCGCGUGAGUGGAGGAAGGUCUUCGGUCCUAAAACUCUGUUUGUUGGGGAGAAACUUAUGGGGAGUGGACUGCUCAUAAAGUGACGGUACCUACUCAGAAAGCCACGGCUAACUACGUG